CAGGAUGAAGGUGCGGUAACACGCCCUGGAGGUCCGAACCCACUAAUGUUGAAAAAUUAGGGGAUGAGCUGUGGGUAGGGGUGAAAGGCCAAUCAAACUCCGUGAUAGCUGGUUCUCCCCGAAAUGCAUUUAGGUGCAGCGUCGUGUGUUUCAUCUUGGAGGUAGAGCUACUGGAUGGUCAAGGGGGCUUAUCCGCUUACCAACACCAGCCAAACUCCGAAUGCCAGGAUGUGAGAGCACGGCAGUGAGACUGUGGGGGAUAAGCUUCAUAGUCGAGAGGGAAACAGCCCAGAUCGCCGGCUAAGGCCCCUAAGCGUGUACUAAGUGGAAAAGGAUGUGGGAUCGCUUAGACAACCAGGAGGUUGGCUCAGAAGCAGCCACCCUUGAAAGAGUGCGUAAUAGCUCACUGGUCAAGUGGUCCUGCGCCGACAAUGUAGUGGGGCUCAAGUACACCGCCGAAGCCGCGGCAUUCCUUUUUGGGAUGGGUAGGGGAGCGUCGUGUAUCCGUUGAAGCUGCAGAGUGAUCUAGUGGUGGAGGGUAUGCGAGUGAGAAUGCAGGCAUGAGUAGCGUGUGACGGGUGGGAAUCCCGUCCGCCGAUUAUCCAAGGGUUCCAGGGUCAAGUUUGUCUGCCCUGGGUGAGUCGGGUCCUAAGGCGAGGCCGACAGGCGUAGUCGAUGGGUAACCAGUUGAUAUUCUGGUACCGGCUUGUCACCGUCCGUGUCGAGGUGUGUGAUGCUAAGCAUGUGAGCUUGUCUUGGGAGUGUUUUUGAUGCUUCUGGGGUGGGUGAGUGUGUGAACCGAUCAUGUAGUAGGCAAGCUGCGGAGGGACGCAGUGAGGUAGCUCAUCCCCGGUGAUGGUUGUCCGGGGCUAAGUGUGUGGACUGUCUGGUAGGUAAAUCCGCUGGGCGUGAAGGUUGAGGCAUGAUGGGGAGCCCAUGGUUGUGGGUGAGUGAGUGAUCCUGUACUGUCGAGAAAAGCUUCGUGAGCGAGGUGGCGGGUCCGCCCGUACCCUAAACCGACACUGGUGGAUAGGUAGAGUAUACCGAGGCGAUCGAGUGAAUCGUGGUGAAGGAACUCGGCAAAAUGCCCCCGUAACUUUGGGAUAAGGGGGACCUGAGCUGUCGUGCACCCGUGCGGUGUGGUGGCGGUGAGGGGCGCAGAGUCCAGGGGGAAACGACUGUUUACCAAAAACACAGGUCCGUGCGAAGACGUAAGUCGAUGUAUACGGACUGACGCCUGCCCGGUGCUGGAAGGUUAAGAGGACUGGUUAGUGGCCCUUGUGGCUGCGAAGCUGAGAAUUUAAGCCCCAGUAAACGGCGGUGGUAACUAUAACCAUCCUAAGGUAGCGAAAUUCCUUGUCGGGUAAGUUCCGACCUGCACGAAUGGCGUAACGACUUCCCCACUGUCUCCAGGAUAUGCUCAGCGAAAUUGAAUUCUCCGUGAAGAUGCGGAGUACCCGCGGUUAGACGGAAAGACCCCGUGCACCUUUACUGCAGCUUCAGAGUGGCAUUGGACAAGAACUGUGUAGCAUAGGUGGGAGGCUUUGAAGCAUUGGCGCCAGCCGA
This 1566-nucleotide ribosomal RNA is filed under the name Watasenia scintillans (sparkling enope). RNAcentral's name for it is "bacterial LSU rRNA". It matches the Rfam family "Bacterial large subunit ribosomal RNA", at positions 741 to 2178 of the family's 2925-position model. The record is from RNAcentral. Lineage: Eukaryota; Metazoa; Mollusca; Cephalopoda; Oegopsida; Enoploteuthidae.